Molecule: ribosomal RNA, 200 nt
Filed under: uncultured eubacterium A21-K2
Lineage: Bacteria
Description: partial 16S ribosomal RNA
Rfam family: Bacterial small subunit ribosomal RNA
Source: RNAcentral
GCGUGAGUNAAGAAGGUUUUANGAUCGUAAAGAUCUGUUGUAAGAGAAGAACGAGUGUGAGAGUGGAAAGUUCACACUGUGACGGUAUCUUAACAGAAAGGGACGACUAACUACGUGCCAGCAGCCGCGGUAAUACGUAGGUCCCGAGCGUUGUCCGGAUUUAUUGGGCGUAAAGCGAGCGCAGGCGGGUUAGAUAAGUC